CGAUCGUUUCGGCCUCGUACACAAGCUCGCUUUCCCUAAAAAAACGCACAAGAGCUCGCUGCGCGUAGCCGCCCAUGGAAGUUAGACGAGGGCAUCCGUACAACAGAUUAGCGCGGCCGCCGUCGCCGAUGGCGGAAUAAUUACAUUUCAGAAUUUUCCCUUAGCACUACUCAACAGGACUCACUUCAGAUCUAAGGUAUACAACAAAGGGGAGAAUUCUGGCAGAUGGAAAUCUGGACGUGAAAAAGCUACGUCAGGCUACAUAUUCUGCACAACUCCAAAUGAGCUGAAAUUUGACGAGGAUUUUUAUGGAAUAAAUAAGAAAUACUGGAGCAAAUAAGUACAGAAGGGGCCCACCCUGGUGAGCAUAAGACACCAGGGCGUGCCUGCGCCCCCAGGCGCGCCCUGGUGGGUUGUGCUCAUCCAGGCCCACCUCCGGUGCCCCCCUUCUGGUACAUAAGUCAUUUUGACCAAGAAAAAUAAAUAA
Long non-coding RNA from Triticum aestivum (bread wheat), 487 nucleotides. RefSeq lists it as uncharacterized. Lineage: Eukaryota; Viridiplantae; Streptophyta; Magnoliopsida; Poales; Poaceae. The record is from RefSeq and is a predicted model, not a curated record. The transcript is spliced from 3 exons.